RNAcentral lists this long non-coding RNA (694 nucleotides) under Androctonus crassicauda. The record is from RNAcentral. Lineage: Eukaryota; Metazoa; Arthropoda; Arachnida; Scorpiones; Buthidae.
AAGUAAUAAGUGCAAUAGAAUGAAGAUAACAAGUCAAAGGCAAAAUUUUUUCUGUGUAUGUGUAAAAGACAUGGUGAAAGACAAUUAUUAAGGUAAAGUAAGGUAUGGUUUAACACCCACCGAUGGGUUGUUAUGAUGCCAUUUUAAAUAUACAUCAAUGAUGGACAAUUGUUAAAUUUAAAAAUGCAUCCGUUCAUAUUUAGUAUGACAGAAGAAUGACGAAUUGGAUGGAGGGAGUCAAAAGUGUUCGAAAUAGCAUGGCAUAGUUAUCAAAGUGAUGUCACAUAGUAUUCAAAAGUAUAGGAACAUUUGUUUUCCAUAUAGUUGGAAAACAGUAGCAUUUGUGAUUGUAAAUUCUUCAAAAAAAAAAAAAAAAGCAUGUGCAAAGAUAUGCUUUCUUACAACUGAAAGAUCCAGUCCUGUUCACACAAAACUGUUCAUAAAUGAUGGACUCUUUUUAAAGAUGAUCAUGAAAGUUUGAGGGAUGAUGGAUGUCUAGAUCAAGCAAAUGUUGUAAUCACUGUAUAGUUCAUAGCCACUAUAGAUGAACUUGUUAAGACUGAGCAUUGUGUAAGAUUUUGCAACAUCUCCAAGUCACAAUCAAAAACAAGUGACCAGAUUGUUGAGCAAUGAAGUAGUGCUUCUGCAUGACAAUGCCUGUUCAUAUGUAUCACAUGAAAUGAAGUCAUUGUUU